RNAcentral lists this ribosomal RNA (497 nucleotides) under uncultured bacterium. Its description in RNAcentral is "partial 16S ribosomal RNA". It matches the Rfam family "Bacterial small subunit ribosomal RNA", at positions 28 to 507 of the family's 1533-position model. The record is from RNAcentral.
GAUGAACGCUGGCGGUGUGCCUAAUACAUGCAAGUCGAGCGAACAGACGAGGAGCUUACUCCUCUGACGUUAGCGGCGGACGGGUGAGUAACACGUGGAUAACCUACCUAUAAGACUGGGAUAACUUCGGGAAACCGGAGCUAAUACCGGAUAACAUGUUGAACCGCAUGGUUCAACAGUGAAAGACGGUCUUGCUGUCACUUAUAGAUGGAUCCGCGUCGCAUUAGCUAGUUGGUAAGGUAACGGCUUACCGAGGCAACGAUGCGUAGCCGACCUGAGAGGGUGAUCGGCCACACUGGAACUGAGACACGGUCCAGACUCCUACGGGAGGCAGCAGUAGGGAAUCUUCCGCAAUGGGCGAAAGCCUGACGGAGCAACGCCGCGUGAGUGAAGAAGGUCUUCGGAUCGUAAAACUCUGUUAUUAGGGAAGAACAAAUGUGUAAGUAACUAUGCACGUCUUGACGGUACCUAAUCAGAAAGCCACGGCUAACUACGUG